AUCCUGUUUUGGUGGUGCAGCUCUUGGGAUCAGUGCUCUGAGCACCCAGCAGAAGAGGCUCUGAAUGCUUCGGGCUCAGUUAGUCAAGCACCGUGAGCUGCAACAGGGAACAUACAGACAGGAGGCCAGCUGGAGUCUCUCUCUUUCACUUCCUGACGUGUACACCCCGUCAACCCUCAAAUUUCAGCCUCCGAAGCUCCGAGAAAGCCCCUUGGGGAAUACUCUGCUCCUCCCUUUCACUGGGCAGAGCGACCAGCACAGGACCCAGCAUUAGAGAGCUGAACAGCCCCAGACCCCGCGGGCCGGGAGAGCUUCUGGGCAUCCUUCCGUGGGGUCCCAUCACCUCCCUGCUGGAGGCAGACUGGGUACCAGGACCCUGCGGUGAAGCCGACUGGGGAGCAGCUUCCUCCAGCCUCUCCAAGCACAGACGUCAGCGGCGAGGCUCAGACUUGGUGGCUGUGCUCUGUCUCUGCACAGGCUUGUCACCUCUGAUUCAGCCUAGGGUAUGGUUCGAGGUUGCAUCUCUUGUAAACCCCCCUUCAGCUGCUGUCAAGGGCUGGCACCGGAGUUCUUGAAUUUAGGCUGAUGUGGGUCCUGCUAGAGCCUGCUGUCCUCUGCACAUGUCAACAAAUGUGUAUGCAGGUGUGGACCAGCUGGAUCUCUCUCCUUCUCUGGGAAGCGUGGUUUUCAGCAGCGUCAGGCUGGGAAGACAGACAUUUCAUGAACCCUGAAGUCCUGUGCAGGCAGUUGUCACACAGUGUUCCACCAGCGGCCCACGGCCGGCACAGAACACUGCAAAGCUCCAUCUAGCACAAGUGACCACGGGGAACGGGUUGAGAAUCCUGCUGCAUUGUACACGUCUCCUAAGGGAAGAACAUCAAGAAAGAUGAGCUCGCCGCGGAAUUGGCGAACUGUGUGGAAGGGGCGGGAUCUGUAGAGCUCAGCAGCGGCGAGCUCCUGUCAUGGCUUGGCCAGUUCGGGU
Balaenoptera ricei (Rice's whale) is the source of this 982-nucleotide long non-coding RNA. RefSeq lists it as uncharacterized. The transcript is spliced from 4 exons. NCBI's taxonomy places the organism in Eukaryota, Metazoa, Chordata, Mammalia, Artiodactyla, Balaenopteridae. The record is from RefSeq and is a predicted model, not a curated record.